Molecule: long non-coding RNA, 275 nt
Organism: Pollicipes pollicipes
Lineage: Eukaryota; Metazoa; Arthropoda; Thecostraca; Pollicipedomorpha; Pollicipedidae
Exons: 3
Source: RefSeq, a predicted model, not a curated record
CCGACAUGACGCUCGGCGGGACGCUGCUGUCGACGGCCGGCCGGGGCUGGCUUCCGCUUGUCUCCGCUCUGCUGCUUGUCGUGGGACUCGAUGCGGCCUUCGUGCGGAGGAUAAACCCAGGAUACGUCGGAAGAAAUGGUGGAGAAAUCCAGAUCGAGGGGUCAGGCUUCGCGGAGGACCAGUACUCCCAGUUCCAGCCCGAGUUGGGAAACUCCGUGACCUUCGUCAACGACUGGGACACGGUGCCCUGCAAGGUGAACGUCUACAAGACCAGC